UGAGGAACAUGACCUUCGGCGGGGGAUAGCCGGCCCAACGGCCGGGUAAUAUCGCGUACGACCACUCGGGGACAUCCCCAGGUGGUGAAAGCAGCAAUGCGCCGAUGGAGUGCCUCGCGGCCUAUCAGCUAGUUGGUGAGGUAACGGCUCACCAAGGCGACGACGGGUAGCUGGUCUGAGAGGAUGGCCAGCCACAUUGGGACUGAGACACCGGCCCAGACUCCCGUAGGGACGG
RNAcentral lists this ribosomal RNA (235 nucleotides) under uncultured bacterium. RNAcentral's name for it is "partial 16S ribosomal RNA". It matches the Rfam family "Bacterial small subunit ribosomal RNA", at positions 118 to 347 of the family's 1533-position model. The record is from RNAcentral.